GGUGGAGAACCGUAGAUGUAUACUGGAGGGGGAGGUGAUUUUACGGGUGGGGGAGGUGAGCUGUAGUAGUAUGGAGGAGGAGGAGACUUCACAGGUGGAGGAGGAGAGUGGUAGUAGUAGGGAGGUGGUGGUGAUGGAGAUGGGGGUGGUGGUGAUUUGUAGUAGUAUGGUGGAGGAGGAGACGGUGAUGGUGGUGGUGGGGACUUGUAGUAGUAUGGUGGAGGAGGAGAUGGCGAUGGUGGUGGAGGAGACUUGUAGUAGUAGGGAGGUGGAGGUGACGGGGAUGGUGGUGGUGGUGAUUUGUAGUAGUAUGGAGGUGGGGGUGAUGGCGAUGGUGGUGGAGGAGACUUGUAGUAGUAUGGUGGUGGGGUGGUGGUGGGGAUUUGUAGUAGUAUGGUGGAGGAGGAGAUGGGGAAGGUGGUGGUGGGGAUUUGUAGUAGUAUGGUGGAGGAGGAGAUGGGGAAGGUGGUGGUGGAGACUUGUAGUAGUAUGGUGGAGGAGGAGAUGGAGAUGGUGGGGGUGGUGAUUUGUAGUAGUAGGGAGGUGGAGGUGAUGGGGAUGGUGGUGGUGGGGAUUUGUAGUAGUAUGGUGGAGGAGGAGAUGGGGAAGGUGGUGGUGGGGAUUUGUAGUAGUAUGGUGGAGGAGGAGAUGGGGAAGGUGGUGGUGGGGAUUUGUAGUAGUAUGGUGGAGGAGGAGAUGGGGAAGGUGGUGGUGGGGAUUUGUAGUAGUAUGGUGGAGGAGGAGAUGGGGAAGGUGGUGGUGGGGAUUUGUAGUAGUAUGGUGGAGGAGGAGAUGGGGAAGGUGGUGGUGGGGAUUUGUAGUAGUAUGGUGGAGGAGGAGAUGGCGAUGGUGGUGGAGGAGACUUGUAGUAGUAAGGAGGUGGAGGUGAUGGAGAUGGUGGUGGAGGAGAUUUGUAGUAGUAUGGAGGUGGCGGUGAUGGAGAUGGUGGUGGAGGAGAUUUGUAAUAGUAUGGUGGUGGAGGAGAUGGGUCUGGUGGUGGUGGAGACUUGUAGUAGUAUGGUGGAGGAGGAGAUGGUGAUGGUGGAGGAGGAGACUUGUAAUAGUAGGGAGGUGGGGGUGAUGGAGAUGGUGGUGGAGGAGACUUGUAAUAGUAUGGUGGAGGAGGAGAUGGCGAUGGUGGUGGUGGAGACUUGUAAUAGUAGGGAGGUGGAGGUGAUGGUGAUGGUGGUGGAGGAGAUUUGUAGUAGUAUGGAGGUGGUGGUGAUGGAGAUGGUGGUGGAGGAGACUUGUAAUAGUAUGGUGGUGGUGGUGGGGACUUGUAGACGUACUUAGGUGAUGGUGGUGGUGGGGACUUGUAGACGUACUUAGGUGAGGGAGGUGGUGGAGACUUGUACACGUAUUUAGGUGAUGGAGGAGGUGGUGAUUUGUACACGUACUUCGGUGAUGGAGGUGGUGGUGACUUGUACACGUAUUUAGGUGAUGGAGGAGGUGGUGAUUUGUACACGUACUUCGGUGAUGGAGGUGGUGGUGACUUGUACACGUAUUUAGGUGAUGGAGGAGGUGGUGACUUGUACACGUACUUUGGUGAUGGAGGCGGUGGUGACUUGUAUACGUAUUUAGGUGAUGGAGGAGGUGGUGACUUGUACACGUACUUUGGUGAUGGAGGUGGUGGUGAUUUGUACACGUAUUUAGGUGACGGAGGAGGUGGUGACUUGUACACGUACUUUGGUGAUGGAGGUGGUGGUGACUUGUACACGUACUUUGGUGAUGGAGGUGGUGGUGACUUGUACACGUACUUUGGUGAUGGAGGUGGUGGUGACUUGUACACGUACUUGGGGGAUGGAGGAGGUGGGGACUUGUACACGUAUUUUGGUGAUGGUGGUGGAGGAGAUUUGUAGUAGUAAGGAGUUGGGGUUGGCUUAGGCUUCAUGCAUUCUUCAUAUGGAGUUUUUGGAGCAUAAGCAAAUGGUUUAGCAGAGAGCACAACUUCAUAAUGAUUCUUUGACUUCACUUUGAGGUUAGCACCCUUGAUGCCCCAAUGAAGAUCUGUGGGGAUGUUACAUUUUGAAUCCUUUGGUGCUUUGUGGAGUUUAGCCUUGCAUGCAUCUGCUCCAUAUUUGGCAUAAUCAAAUCCUUCAACAGUGAUG
Molecule: long non-coding RNA, 2108 nt
Filed under: Solanum tuberosum (potato)
Lineage: Eukaryota; Viridiplantae; Streptophyta; Magnoliopsida; Solanales; Solanaceae
Description: long non-coding RNA (STUB_LNC009499)
Source: RNAcentral